AGAGUGAACGCUGGCGGUAGGCCUAACACAUGCAAGUCGAACGGCAGCACAGUGGUAGCAAUACCAUGGGUGGCGAGUGGCGGACGGGUGAGGAAUACAUCGGAAUCUACCUUUUCGUGGGGGAUAACGUAGGGAAACUUACGCUAAUACCGCAUACGCCCUUCGGGGGAAAGCCGGGGAUCGCAAGACCUGGCGCGGAUAGAUGAGCCGAUGUCGGAUUAGCUAGUUGGUGAGGUAAUGGCUCACCAAGGCGACGAUCCGUAGCUGGUCUGAGAGGAUGAUCAGCCACACUGGAACUGAGACACGGUCCAGACUCCUACGGGAGGCAGCAGUGGGAAUAGUUGGACAAUGGGCGCAAGCCUGAUCCAGCCAUACCGCGUGGGUGAAGAAGGCCUUCGGUGUAAAGUCCGUUUUAGUGGUAAAAGAAAGCAAUCGGUUAAUACCCGGUUGUUCUGACGUACCCAAAGAAUAAGCACCGG
Molecule: ribosomal RNA, 479 nt
Filed under: uncultured soil bacterium
Lineage: Bacteria
Description: bacterial SSU rRNA
Rfam family: Bacterial small subunit ribosomal RNA
Source: RNAcentral